GGCCUUGCUCUUAUGUCAUCUGACUAAAGGUUUCAUAGACCAAAAUAACCAUCCAACCUGUUGGAAUACUGAAACAAUUGCUGCCUGCUUUCCACACACUACAUAAAAUAUGUGGAUAUCCUAAAUUCUACAAAAAAAGAUUUGUAAGCAAAUCAAGCAAUACUGGGACUCCCUCUUCUCCAGAAGAGACAUCCUGGCCUCCAUGCAGAGGAAUGUGUGGAUAGACAUAUAUUUAAGGAAGACACUAAACCAGAAAAUACUACAUUACACCCUCUUAAAAGACUUCUAAGAUUGUUGUCAUGCCUACCACAGACAUUCAGAUGAUGUGUAUUCUUGAUUGUGAUUUCAUGUUUGGAGCUGAUGAAGGAGUUUGAAGUCUCCAGAGCAGCAAGGAGAGUGGGGAGUAGAACUCAUCAUCUUUAAGUCACUCAUCACC
RNAcentral lists this long non-coding RNA (436 nucleotides) under Mus musculus (house mouse). RNAcentral's name for it is "predicted gene 28813". Lineage: Eukaryota; Metazoa; Chordata; Mammalia; Rodentia; Muridae. The record is from RNAcentral.